This 253-nucleotide ribosomal RNA is filed under the name uncultured bacterium. Its description in RNAcentral is "partial 16S ribosomal RNA". It matches the Rfam family "Bacterial small subunit ribosomal RNA", at positions 524 to 776 of the family's 1533-position model. The record is from RNAcentral.
UACGUAGGUGGCAAGCGUUAUCCGGAAUUACUGGGCGUAAAGCGCACGCAGGUGGUCUUGUAAGUUUGACGUGAAAGCUCUCGGCUUAACUGGGAGAGGUCGUUGAAGACUGCAAGACUUGAGGAAAUGAGAGGGGUGUAGAAUUCCCGGUGUAGUGGUGGAAUGCGUAGAUAUCGAGAGGAACACCUGCGGCGAAGGCGGGUAGCUGGGCCGACACUGACGCUGAGGCGCGAAAGCCAGGGGAGCGAACGGG